CCUACGGGGGGCAGCAGUGGGGAAUAUUGGGCAAUGGGCGCAAGCCUGACCCAGCAACGCCGCGUGAAGGAAGAAGGCUUCCGGGUUGUAAACUUCUUUUCUCAGGGACGAAGCAAGUGACGGUACCUGAGGAAUAAGCCACGGCUAACUACGUGCCAGCAGCCGCGGUAAUACGUAGGUGGCAAGCGUUAUCCGGAUUUACUGGGUGUAAAGGGCGGGUAGGCGGGAAAGCAAGUCAGAUGUGAAAACCAUGGGCUCAACCUGUGGCCUGCAUUUGAAACUGUUUUUCUUGAGUACUGGAGAGGCAGACGGAAUUCCUAGUGUAGCGGUGAAAUGCGUAGAUAUUAGGAGGAACACCAGUGGCGAAGGCGGUCUGCUGGACAGCAACUGACGCUGAGGCGCGAAAGCGUGGGGAGCAAACAGGAUUAGAUACCCGUGUAGUC
Molecule: ribosomal RNA, 443 nt
Filed under: uncultured bacterium
Lineage: Bacteria
Description: partial 16S ribosomal RNA
Rfam family: Bacterial small subunit ribosomal RNA
Source: RNAcentral